This is a long non-coding RNA of Oreochromis niloticus (Nile tilapia), 2864 nucleotides long. Lineage: Eukaryota; Metazoa; Chordata; Actinopteri; Cichliformes; Cichlidae. The record is from Ensembl.
AUGAUCUUGAAACAAGACAGGAAACAGAGAGAAUCCAGAGUACAGGCAAAUCUUUUUUUUUUUUUUGGCUGUCCCGUUUCGUUAUAUAAUAUAGUAUAUAAUAUGUAUAAUAAGUAUAAUAUGUUUAUUGCAAUUUUCAUGUUUUACAUUAUCAUUUGGAAAAAGUCAACUAAACAGUUUUGGGAUUUAAAGAUUCUUUUAUUGCUACGAUAUAAUCUGUCUUAUGAUAAAUGCAUUAAUAACAUGUUCUACAGUAUUAUUUUAUCAGUAAUAUUUCUUACAGGGUUCAUAUUGCAUUGAAUAUGUUUGUCAUCACAUUCAUUCUAUUCACAGGUAGAGUUCAUUUUAUACACAUUGCAUAUCUGUGCUUGUUUAGAGUUGAUGUUCCGUCCAAGAGGGUUUUAAGCUUCACUGGUGAGAGUGUCCAGGUGAUACAUGUUGAGGGAAGAUGAGAACAUAGCAGGUUAAUUGCAUGCAUGCUUACAAUACACAUAAAUCUAGUAGCAGGCCUGAGCGAAGGCCCAAGUGUCUUCUGCUUCUUAUUUGAGACCUGCGCCAAUUCAGUCUACUUAGAGAUUGAGGACGAGGGUCAAUUAUUAGCCCUUAGAGGCCCUGAAGCUUGAAGUUAUUACCUUAAAAGGAAGGUGUUAUCAAAAAGAGAAGUUAUAUGUCUGUUUAUAGUUAUUAGAGAUGUACAAGAUGUACCCUUGUCUGUAAACAAUGACUGUACACAAUGUAUUUUUGACCUGUAUUGACGUGUAUGUGGGGGUGUGAUCUUCUAUGCUAUAAAACCAGAACCCAGUGUAUUUUUAUCAGAGCAAAUAAGCCAUAUGCUGAUGAUUGUUCUCCGUUGUCAAUAAACUCAUCUUUUGAUUGCACUUUUCUGGAGCCUCCGUCGUUUGUUGUCUGAUCUGCAGUUGAUCGAUCUCGCUUCAACAGGAAACUGCCUCAGGCUACAAACAGUUAAAUAGCGUCUGGUGACCGGGCCUCAGGCCAUGGGGCCCUGUCGGGCACAGCCCGAAAAAGGGGCUUGGGCUCAUCUUCCUGCAGACCCACCGCCCGCCGGAGGGGCCGGGCAGUGGCCAGGAGGGGAGGUCCUGGUGGAUCGAACCUAUCAAGACUGGCAAUUGAGAAUAAACUUUUUUUUUUUUUUUUUAAUCACUGAAAAGACAUCUCUAGCAGUGUUUCUUUGACAUCCACUUUCACUUCAAGCUGGGAAUUGUGACACUGUGGCCAUCUCCCAAGAUGGCCACAUGGACUGAGUCUCUCAGUGUGCUGCCUGUCCUGUACACUGCAAAACUCUGAGGUUGUGGAGGGACCACCUAUGGAUUGAAAAUGUAAAUUAAUUAUGUUACUUCAGUUUUACUAGAAAAAAAUAAAAUAGCAAGCUUAAGGGUAGGUAAGAGAAGAUAUGAGUUAAAACGCUGUGAGAAAUAAAGAGUAAUAACAAAGUUCCUCUGACCUUUCCUCCCAGCUGAACAUGAUAAUGAACAAAACUCAAGGUCCUGAUAUCAUGAAGGUCCUGGUUCGGGGUCCUGGUGCAGCAUCUAAUGAAAAAUAACACACAACUUUAUUUUUGUUCCAUAUUAAUUCAUGAGUUUAUCAAUGAUGAAAUAGUAAAAGUUGAAUGGUUUCUGCAUUAUUAAAUCAGCUGAUUUUUAAAUUUGAUUAUUUAUUAUUAUUUCUGUUAUUAACCCUUUCAUGCAUGAAUUAUGACAAUCUCAAUCAGGAUUUUUCUCUUAAGAAUUUUCAUUCGUCUUUAGGCAUGAAAAGAUGAAUAAAAAUACUUACGAAAAAAAUACUGAUUGAGGUUGUCAUAAUUCAUGCAUGAAAGGGUUAAAUAACAAUAAUUACAAUGAAACGCAUCAUACAGCUAUAGUAACAUUAAACAACCAGUGGGUGGCAGGGUACGGAGUGACACAUCAGUAUCCAAUUUAGCGGUUUAUGUGCAACUAUACCAACACACUGACACAAAUACAAGAAAACAGCCUUUGAAUAUCUGUUCACUGUAGUGACCACUAUGCGUCAAAGGGUUAAUGUGAUUCCUAAUAGUUUGAUUUAAGAAUCAAAGAGUGGGAUUGUAGAGGAAUUUAUUUUAUUUAUGUAUUAUUCACAUUAUUUUAUUGUAUAAUGCUUUGAUGCCACUGGGUUUUAGCAUGUCUCAAUGCCUCACACCUUAUUCAUGCCAUUGAACAACCGGGUGAUUGUAUCUCAGGAAGUUGGGGGAAGCAGACAACUCCACAGGAAGAGUCUUUUGUCUCUUCAACAACUGUAAGAGGUAGCAAGGGAGUGUGAACCUUUCUUUGGGGGGAAGACCAAAGGUGUGAAACAGCUGUAAACUGCCUCAUGUUCCUGUAGGAAGUAUUUAAACCCAGGGCCAUGCGGGGCUCAGGUGGAGACUCUGCCGAUCGUCUUGUCCAGCGAUGAUGGCUUCUCUCACCAAGCUUGGGUUUUCGUUCUUUUUUAAUUAAAGGAUGUUGGCUAUCGCUCACCGUUUGUCUGCAGGCUUUAUUACAUGGAAACUUCCACAACACCUCCCUCUGAGCUUUGAGCUUUUAAGUUGAAAAAUGUCCAUGUCUCUGUGUAACUGGAAAACUCAUCAGCUCAGAGGUAACUGUAGAUGAAAUUGAGCCUCUCCAUAUACUAACUGCUCUGUUUGUUGUUUACAGUGAGCAGUGCCACCCAGUGGUUGAGAGCGCUGCCUAUAAAGACCAAAGAGGAUAAAAUAAGAAUUGGUGGUGACACUUAGAAAGAAAACAAAGCAGAAUAAUAUGAGAGUGUUAAAGAUGACAAAGAUCUUCUGACCUCGUCUCCUGACUUAGGGGGAAACUGAUCCUGGACUGGAUCCUGAUUCAGUGUCCUCA